AGAGUUUGAUCCUGGCUCAGGACGAACGCUGGCGGCGUGCUUAACACAUGUGCAAGUCGAGCGGUAAGGCCCUUCGGGGUACACGAGCGGCGAACGGGUGAUAGUAACACGUGGGCAACCUGCCCUGCACUCUGGGAUAACCUCGGGAAACCGGGGGGCUAAUACCGGAUACGACCUUCCCCCGCAUGGGGGUGGGUGGAAAGUUCGCCGGCGGUGCAGGAUGGGCCCGCGGCCUAUCAGCUUGUUGGUGGGGUAAUGUGGCCUACCAAGGCGACGACGGGUAGCCGGCCUGAGAGGGCGACCGGCCACCCACUGGGACUGAGAUACGGCCCAGACUCCUACGGGAGGCAGCAGUGGGGAAGGUAUUGCGCAAUGGGCGAAAGCCUGACGCAGCGACGCCGCGUGAGGGAUGACACGGCCUUCGGGUUGUAAACCUCUUUCAGCGCCGAAGAAGCGAAAGUGACGGAGUAGGCGCAGAAGAAGCACCGGCUAACUACGUGCCAGCAGCCGCGGUAAUCUACGUAGGGUGCGAGCGUUGUCCGGAAUUAUUGGGCGUAAAGAGCUCGUAGCCGCGGUUUGUCGCGUCGACUGUGAAAACCUACAGCUUAACUGUGGGCGUGCCGAGUCGAUACGGGCAGACUUGAGUUCGGUAGGGGAGACUGGAAUUCCUGGUAGGUAGCGGUGGAAUGCGCAGAUAUCAGGAGGAACACCGGUGGCGAAGGCGGUCGUCUCUGGGCCGAUACUGACGCUGAGGAGCGAAAGCGUGGGGAGCGAACACGGGAUUAGAUACCCUGGUAGUCCACGCCGUAAACGGUGGGCGCUAGGUGUGAUGGGGAUUUCCACGUCCUCCGUGCCGUAGCUAACGCAUUAAGCGCCCCGCCCAUGGGGAGUACGGCCGCAAGGCUAAAACUCAAAGGAAUUGACGGGGGCCCGCUCACAAGCGGCGGAGCAUGUGGAUUAAUUCGAUGCAACGCGAAGAACCUUACGCCUGGGUUUGACAUGCACUGGAUCGCCUCAGAGAUGGGGUUUCCGUAAGGUUUCAGUGUGCAGGUGGUGCAUGGCUGUCGUCAGCUCGUGUCGUGAGAUGUUUCGGGUUAAGUCCCGCAACGAGCGCAACCCUUGUUCCAUGUUGCCAGCACGUCUAAUGGUGGGGACUCAUGGGAGACUGCCGGGGUCAACUCGGAGGAAGGUGGGUGGAUGAGGUCAAGUCAUCAUGCCCCUUAUGUCCAGGGCUUCACACAUGCUCAACAAUGGCCGGUACAGAGGGCUGCGAAAUCGCAAGGUGGAGCGAAUCUCUCAUAAAGCCGGUCUCAGUUCGGAUCGGGGUCUGCAACUCGACCCCGUGAAGUCCCGGAGUCGCUAGUAAUCGCAGAUCAGCAACGCUGCGGUGAAUACGUUCCCUUGGGCCUUGUACACACCGCCCGUCACGUCAUGAAAGUCGGUAACACCCGAAAAGCCCGUGGCCCAACCCUUGUGGGGGAGCGGUCGAAGGUGGGACUGGCGAU
RNAcentral lists this ribosomal RNA (1505 nucleotides) under Actinoalloteichus alkalophilus. RNAcentral describes it as "16S ribosomal RNA". It matches the Rfam family "Bacterial small subunit ribosomal RNA". The record is from RNAcentral. Lineage: Bacteria; Bacillati; Actinomycetota; Actinomycetes; Pseudonocardiales; Pseudonocardiaceae.